GGGGCUGUAGCUCAGCUGGAAGAGCACCUCGCUGGCAGCGAGGGGGUCAGGGGUUCGAGUCCCCUCAGCUCCA
RNAcentral lists this transfer RNA (73 nucleotides) under Actinomycetota bacterium. RNAcentral describes it as "tRNA-Ala". It matches the Rfam family "tRNA". Rfam says of the family: Transfer RNA (tRNA) molecules are approximately 80 nucleotides in length. Their secondary structure includes four short double-helical elements and three loops (D, anti-codon, and T loops). Further hydrogen bonds mediate the characteristic L-shaped molecular structure. tRNAs have two regions of fundamental functional importance: the anti-codon, which is responsible for specific mRNA codon recognition, and the 3' end, to which the tRNAs corresponding amino acid is attached (by aminoacyl-tRNA synthetases). tRNAs cope with the degeneracy of the genetic code in two manners: having more than one tRNA (with a specific anti-codon) for a particular amino acid; and 'wobble' base-pairing, i.e. permitting non-standard base-pairing at the 3rd anti-codon position. The record is from RNAcentral. Lineage: Bacteria; Bacillati; Actinomycetota.